RNAcentral lists this ribosomal RNA (1450 nucleotides) under uncultured organism. Its description in RNAcentral is "SSU rRNA". It matches the Rfam family "Bacterial small subunit ribosomal RNA". The record is from RNAcentral.
GCGGCAUGCCUUACACAUGCAAGUCGAACGGUAACAGGUCUUCGGAUGCUGACGAGUGGCGAACGGGUGAGUAAUACAUCGGAACGUGCCCAGUAAUGGGGGAUAGCUCGGCGAAAGCCGGAUUAAUACCGCAUACGCCCUGAGGGGGAAAGUGGGGGAUCGCAAGACCUCACGUUAUUGGAGCGGCCGAUGGCUGAUUAGCUAGUUGGUAGGGUAAAGGCCUACCCAGGCGACGAUCAGUAGCUGGUCUGAGAGGACGAUCAGCCACACUGGGACUGAGACACGGCCCAGACUCCUACGGGAGGCAGCAGUGGGGAAUUUUGGACAAUGGGGGAAACCCUGAUCCAGCAAUGCCGCGUGUGCGAAGAAGGCCUUCGGGUUGUAAAGCACUUUUGUCAGGGAAGAAAUCCUUUGGGCUAAUACCCUAGGGGGAUGACGGUACCUGAAGAAUAAGCACCGGCUAACUACGUGCCAGCAGCCGCGGUAAUACGUAGGGUGCAAGCGUUAAUCGGAAUUACUGGGCGUAAAGCGUGCGCAGGCGGUUGUGUAAGACAGGUGUGAAAUCCCCGGGCUUAACCUGGGAAUUGCGUUUGUGACUGCACGACUAGAGUGUGUCAGAGGGGGGUGGAAUUCCACGUGUAGCAGUGAAAUGCGUAGAUAUGUGGAGGAACACCAAUGGCGAAGGCAGCCCCCUGGGAUAACACUGACGCUCAUGCACGAAAGCGUGGGGAGCAAACAGGAUUAGAUACCCUGGUAGUCCACGCCCUAAACGAUGUCAACUAGUUGUUGGGGAUUUACUUCCUUGGUAACGUAGCUAACGCGUGAAGUUGACCGCCUGGGGAGUACGGCCGCAAGGUUAAAACUCAAAGGAAUUGACGGGGACCCGCACAAGCGGUGGAUGAUGUGGAUUAAUUCGAUGCAACGCGAAAAACCUUACCUACCCUUGACAUGGCAGGAACUUUCCAGAGAUGGAUUGGUGCUCGAAAGAGAACCUGCACACAGGUGCUGCAUGGCUGUCGUCAGCUCGUGUCGUGAGAUGUUGGGUUAAGUCCCGCAACGAGCGCAACCCUUGUCAUUAGUUGCUACGAAAGGGCACUCUAAUGAGACUGCCGGUGACAAACCGGAGGAAGGUGGGGAUGACGUCAAGUCCUCAUGGCCCUUAUGGGUAGGGCUUCACACGUCAUACAAUGGUCGGUACAGAGGGUUGCCAAGCCGCGAGGUGGAGCCAAUCCCAGAAAACCGAUCGUAGUCCGGAUCGCAGUCUGCAACUCGACUGCGUGAAGUCGGAAUCGCUAGUAAUCGCGGAUCAGAAUGCCGCGGUGAAUACGUUCCCGGGUCUUGUACACACCGCCCGUCACACCAUGGGAGUGGGUUCUACCAGAAGUGGCUAGUCUAACCGCAAGGAGGACGGUCACCACGGUAGGAUUCAUGACUGGGGUGAAGUCAUAAC